UCUGCUCCCUGGGAUUGGGACUCGCUGCGACGCCGGGGAUGCGGGGCACCUCUGCACCCACCCGCACAGCGAGCGGCGCGGGGCAGAGCCGCGUUACAGUACUCUCCGAUGGAGGAUUUUGCCAAUGAGGAACAGAAGAACAGAUCGUCACAAAGCGGGAGUUUAUUAAACAUUUGGAUAUGCCGUGGGAUGGGUGUCACCAGGAGAGAAAGAAAGAACAAAACGCUCCAAUGCUGACGGGCGCGAGUGAUGCUCUGGGCUGGGGCAGCUCCGCCACAGUCGCACUCAGCUCUCGGCCUCUGCUC
This is a long non-coding RNA of Cuculus canorus (common cuckoo), 305 nucleotides long. RefSeq lists it as uncharacterized. NCBI's taxonomy places the organism in Eukaryota, Metazoa, Chordata, Aves, Cuculiformes, Cuculidae. The transcript is spliced from 3 exons. The record is from RefSeq and is a predicted model, not a curated record.